This 107-nucleotide small nuclear RNA is filed under the name Moschus moschiferus (Siberian musk deer). Lineage: Eukaryota; Metazoa; Chordata; Mammalia; Artiodactyla; Moschidae. The record is from RNAcentral.
GUUCUCGCUUUGGCAGCACACAUACUAAAACUGGAACCAUACAGAGAAGAUUAGCAUGGGCCCUGUGCAAGGAUGACACACAAAUUCAUUAAGCGUUUCAUAUUUUU